GCUUCUCUCACAAUCUUCACUGAAGUCCACUCUGUACGCACUGUGGCCAGGGACAAUGAUGGAGUGUGAUUUUGCUAAUAACCCAUGUACUUCAACUCCACCGUCACCUUCAUCACCACCGUCGCCGGCGCUGCUACCAUUUUCUGCACCCGCAACCCCUCAAAGAAUAUCAGGAAAUGAGUGUUUUAGUUGUAGAAGGAAAGGCCAUUGGGCCAAAGAAUGCCCCAACAAAACGCCCAAGAAGUCACAGCCCUUCAGCCCUGGAUCAAAUUCCACGAAUGGUUCUGGUUUGCCACCGAUUCGCUGUCCUUGUGGUCGAGGCACUUGCCAAAUUCUCACCUCCAAAACGGAGAAAAAUCCUGAGAGGAAGUUCUAUAGGUGCCCUGGUGAUAGAUCAACGGUUGAUGGCUACUGUAACUUCUUUAAAUGGUGCGAUGAAUUAAGUGAUAGAGCUCCUAUGUGCCCUUGUGGUGUUGGAAUUUGUAGUCUGAAUCUGAGUAGAGGAUCUACAGGCCCCAAUGGAGAAGAAUGGUACUUUGCUUGCCGGAUUAAGAAGAAUCAUGGAGCUUGUAAUUUCUUCCAGUGGGUAGAUUCUGAAGUAAAUACAAUGAUGAAAAGGUAUGUGGGGGCUGCAAUUAAUGACUUAGACAAUAAAGAGGUGAGUUCUAACAUAGUGUCAGAGUCACCUGUUGUCGAGGGUGAUGAAAAUACCCCAAAUCAGCCAAUCUUCGUUAUAUCUUCAGAGCAAGAUGAAGUUCCCAAUAGGGACCUCAUCAUGCAAGAGGUCGAGUCAGAGGUUCGACAUCAAGUUUUCCAUCCAAUCCAUCAAACAGAGAUUCAUUGCCUGAAAGAGUUAAGCAGGCAAAUUUCUGUCGCAGGGAGUAUCAUAACUCAAGAUGUUGUGUAUCAGGUUUUAGGUUUUCAUGGCUAUGGUUGGUUGGGUCGGCUUGCUUUCCGUCCAUCUCGGUGCAUGAAAGGUCUUCCUGUCUUGCCUAUCUUUUGUUGUAAGCAUGGCUCCUUUAAUUUGUUUGUUUACCUUGUUCCUUGUCUUGGGUUUUAACACAUGCAUCUUUUUGCAGGUAUUUUCCUUUCCUUUGAUUCUGUUACCAUUUCAGAAGAUGUAAAUACAUCUGAAAUUGAAGGAUCAUUUCUCUUACCAGAUAAUGCUUCAAAUACUGCAACUGAUAUGCCACUGUCUCCAACUGCUGUGCGGGAUGCCCAGCUUCUAGGUGGUGCUUUGCAAGAGGCUUCAGGGCUCAAUGAGCCUUCUGGUAUAACACAGGACGAAUCAAAGUCCAUCUUGAAGGAAUAUGGGCUAGCUCUUCUAAAUACUAUCGAGUCUAUGAGUCCAGUCCGUCAUGGAGCAAUGGCAAAGUUGGCAGAAGCCACUUUGAAGACGUUACAGGAUCUUUCCAUUGAAUUUGGUCCCAUUGGAGAGGGGGUGAAGACAUAUAUUCACAGCAUAUCAAGAGUUGCCUCAAUUGAACGGUCUAUAUACAAAGGCCUCACCCCUCAAGAACUACUCAAGCUUUUGAACAGUGAGCAAGUUCAGUUCGAGAACGUUUCUCGUCGCCAUGCUGAGGCAGUGGCUGCUUACUGUGCUUCAAAUAAUCACUUUCAGUCACUUCGCAUAGAAGUUUCAAGUGUCAAGGACAUGCUUCUUCAUCUUGAGAAACGAUUGUUUUCUUGUGAGGCAGAGACAUUGGCACUCAAAACUCGCGUAGAUGAAAUUUCUAAGGAUAUGUUAGAGUCAAAGAGAAGUAUGGAGGCUGCAUCUGAGAAGAUGGAAGAAGCUUUAGAACUGGAACGGCAGAGAGACACUGUGAUUGGUGAGGCAAAGGCAGCAUUGGAGACUGCAAGGUUUUGGCUGGAACAGUGAUAUAGUAAGUAAUGAUUCAGUAUCUGGUUAUCUAAACUAUUUAUGUAAAAUAAGUCUGUAUGUCAACUAUAUGCAGAAUAUGUUUAUAUGUUAUGUAAAUUAUGUAGUGUUGUGAAUUGCAGGAUUUAUGCAUACCAUAAUCUUCCUCUCCCUCUCCAUGCAUUAAGAUUAUAGAAAAGGCAUAUUUUAAUUAUUGGACUGACCUAUUAGACGCUGCUGAAAAUGCCUUGGCAAAGUUGCUUUUAUAAUUUGCAUAUUGUGUUUUACAGACAUACAUGAUUCAGUAUGCACAUUAAAGUGAUUGGGGUUCCUAAAAUUUUGUCAGUUCUCUGUUGUCAAUUUUAAUAUAAUUUUUUU
Molecule: unclassified non-coding RNA, 2236 nt
Filed under: Hevea brasiliensis (rubber tree)
Lineage: Eukaryota; Viridiplantae; Streptophyta; Magnoliopsida; Malpighiales; Euphorbiaceae
Source: RNAcentral